GAUGAACGCUGGCGGCGUGCCUAAUACAUGCAAGUCGAGCGAACAGACGAGGAGCUUGCUCCUCUGACGUUAGCGGCGGACGGGUGAGUAACACGUGGAUAACCUACCUAUAAGACUGGGAUAACUUCGGGAAACCGGAGCUAAUACCGGAUAAUAUAUUGAACCGCAUGGUUCAAUAGUGAAAGACGGUUUUGCUGUCACUUAUAGAUGGAUCCGCGCCGCAUUAGCUAGUUGGUAAGGUAACGGCUUACCAAGGCAACGAUGCGUAGCCGACCUGAGAGGGUGAUCGGCCACACUGAAACUGAGACACGGUCCAGACUCCUACGGGAGGCAGCAGUAGGGAAUCUUCCGCAAGGGGCGAAAGCCGGACGGAGCAACGCCGCGUGAGUGAUGAAGGUCUUCGGAUCGUAAAACUCUGUUAUUAGGGAAGAACAAAUGUGUAAGUAACUAUGCACGUCUUGACGGUACCUAAUCAGAAAGCCACGGCUAACUACG
RNAcentral lists this ribosomal RNA (495 nucleotides) under uncultured bacterium. Its description in RNAcentral is "partial 16S ribosomal RNA". It matches the Rfam family "Bacterial small subunit ribosomal RNA", at positions 28 to 505 of the family's 1533-position model. The record is from RNAcentral.